CCUACGGGAUGCAGCAGUCGAGAAUCAUUCGCAAUGGACGAAAGUCUGACGGUGCGACGCCGCGUGGAGGAUGAAGGCCCUAGGGUCGUAAACUCCUGUCAUCAGGGAGUAAUGACUUACGCAGUAACUGGCGUGGGUAGUGAUAGUACCUGAAGAGGAAGGGACGGCAAACUUCGUGCCAGCAGCCGCGGUAAUACGAAGGUCCCAAGCGUUGUUCGGAUUUACUGGGCGUAAAGCGUCUGUAGGCGGUUUGGUAAGUCAGAUGUGAAAUCCCGGGGCUCAACCCCGGAACUGCAUCCGAUACUGCCAAACUAGAGGGUCGGAGGGGAGUCUGGAAUUCUCGGUGUAGCAGUGAAAUGCGUAGAUAUCGAGAGGAACACUCGUGGCGAAGGCGAGACUCUGGACGACACCUGACGCUGAGAGACGAAGGCCAGGGUAGCGAAAAGGAUUAGAUACCCCCGUAGUC
RNAcentral lists this ribosomal RNA (466 nucleotides) under uncultured bacterium. RNAcentral's name for it is "bacterial SSU rRNA". It matches the Rfam family "Bacterial small subunit ribosomal RNA", at positions 338 to 795 of the family's 1533-position model. The record is from RNAcentral.